Oreochromis aureus is the source of this 3311-nucleotide long non-coding RNA. NCBI's taxonomy places the organism in Eukaryota, Metazoa, Chordata, Actinopteri, Cichliformes, Cichlidae. The record is from Ensembl.
GUGUGUGUGUGUGUGUAAAAUAAAUAAAUAAUAUGCCUGUAAAUCAGGUUUGAGAGUCAGAGCUGAGGAGAAAACUUUGGCUCUCUCUGCUCCUCCAUCAGUGACCCUCCCCCUCCCCCCGCGCACCUGCACUGCAGCUCGCAAACUUUUGCAGGGCAUGUGACGUCAUUCAGUCCACAGUCGGAGUAGCCGUUUAAGUGGAGCUCUGAAGACUGCAAAGCUUUCUGCAGGUGAAGGAAGCCACGGCAGCAAGCCAAACACAGACGAUAAUGUGGCCCUCACAUGCAGCGAUGACGGCUGUUCUGAUAGUGGUGUUGUAGAUGAAAGUCCCACAGCAGCUACUCCGUGUCGCCCAGAGAAAUGAGAAAGGAGGAGGCAGUGAGAUGGAUGAAGGUGGAAGUUCUGAGCAUUUCUCCUAUCAAAAGAGACCGGAGCACACCAGUGAAGAGAGUGCAGAUGUAGAUGAAGAGAGCAAGGACGCAAGACUGGCUCUGAGGAAAAGAGGAAAAACCAAAGUGGCCAAAGCAAAGGAGAAACCCUGUGUGAAGGUCAAGAGGCCGUGGAGUGGAGAAAACAACAGUACAAAGACGGUUAUCAGCUUUUCUGAUUUGUUAUUUUUAACCCAUACAAACAAAUCAAGUACUUAAUGAUCACUUUGUUGGUGUAAGUCAUGAAAAGUAGUUACACAUACCUCAACAUAUGCAGAUGUUUAAUAAUCCGAGUUCAUUGUAUUUACCAGUUCCCUAAGGAAAGUUUCCCAUUGAAUGUCCCCAUUUAGGUUAAAGUGAGUGUAUUUGUGUUAAAAACGUCCCCAAAAGUCAUAAGAAUAUGGCAUACUAAUGACUAUAGUUGGAUAUGUUUUGGGAUUAUUUUUCUAAAAAUAGUAUCAUGUUCCUUUUUCAGUAUAAAUCUAUCUAUGAAGUCUGUAAACAAUUUAUCAAUGAUCCCCACACUCAAGCAAGGGUUAUGUUAAAAAAAAAAACCUUCAUUAUGUCUAAGAUUUAAAAAUACGGAACAAAUACCAAUCAGAAUGAGGACUAAGAUAAAGAAAUCCAUCCGAAAAGUAGUUACACGUACCUUAACAUAUGCAGAUGUUUAAUAAUCCGAGUUCAUUGUAUUUACCAGUUCCCUAAGGAAAGUUUCCCAUUGAAUGUCUCCAUUUAGGUUAAAGCGGAGUGUAUUUGUGUUUAAAAACGUCCCCAAAAGUCAUAACUAUAUGGCAUACUAAUGACUAUAGUUGGAUAUGCUUUGUAUUUUUUAAAACAAAAUAGUAUCAUGUACCUUUUUUCUGUAUAAAUGUAUACAUGAAGUUCAAGAACAAUUUAUCAAUGAUCACCACACUGAAGAGUUAUGUUGUAAAACCCUUCAUUAUGUCUAAGAUUUGGAAAUAUGAAACAAAUACCAAUCAGAAUGAGGACUAAGAUAAAGCAAUCCAUCCCCCAAAUGAUUACACAUACUUUAACAUAAGCAAAUAUUUAAUAAUCCUAUUCAUUGUAUUUACCAGUUCCCUAAGGAAAGUUUCCCAUUGACUGUCCCCAUUUAGGUUAAAGCGGAGUGUAUUUGUGUUAGAAACGUCCCCAAAAGUCAUAAGAUUCAGCUGUACCAAUAACUAUAGUUGGAUAUGUUUUUGCAAUGUUUAAAUGGAGGUAUAUUUCUGUAUUUAGUGUUAAUCUACCUUUGAGAUCAGUUAAUAGUUAAUGGUCACUGAUCGUUAAUGAUCACUGUACUCUGGUACUAUACCAAUUCAAUUUCAUUUAUGUAUAUCCUUUUGAUUGUCCUCAUUCAGGUUAACGCAGUGCAUUUUUGUUAGAAAUGUCCCCAGAAGUUAUAAGAGUCAUCUUUUUUGGCAGUUUUCAAUUGUCUCUUGUCUAUUUGUUAUUCAUGUUAAAUCUACUCGUAACAUCAGUGAAAACUAAAAUUAAGAAAUCCAUUCUAAAAUCGUACAGCUUGUCUUAUCACUCACAGAUCUUUAAUACUGUACUUAUUGGUGCCCUCAGGUAAAGGAUAUUUUGAUUGGUUCUAAUGUAGGUUAAAGAAGUGUGUUUAUUAAUAAUUAAAUUAAAUCUUUUAUGAUAGGUUUGCUUCAAAGUUUGGAUAGUUUCUGCAAAUGAAAUGAACCCUUAGUAAUUGUGUACAAAUUAUCUGUGUUAACAAUUCAUAGUUGAAAUUAGAAAUUUCUUUUUUCAUUUAAAUAGAAUAUAAAAACUAGGUUAACUGUCUAAUGUUUGCCUAUUUAACUUAUGUUUAUCUACUCAGGGCUAACCAAGCUGAAGCAGCAUCAUGAGAAAUGCCUGAAACGUAAAAAAAAAAAAAAAUCUGCAAAAUCCGGAUUCCUCAAGGAAUGAGAUUGAGUGUCUUCUUUCAGGUAUGGAGGCAACAAAAACACAAUAGAAUAAGAAAACAGAUCAAGAUGAAGACAGGGACCAGGGACUUCUUCCCAGUGAACAUAUUUGGAAGCAAAGUUCUUGCCUUACAAUUUGCUGGUAACAAACACUCAAUAGUACAGAUGAUUUUUUUCCCCACGUUUCUCUGCAUUAAUGAUGUGCAUGUAUACUCCCAAAACAACACAGUAGUAAUAAAUGCAGUCAAAAAUUUAAAUUGUUCUAUGGCCGAGACAAUGGACAUAGUUUUGAUUUCUUCAAGAUAAAUAGAGACCUUAAUUAUUGUUUAGAUUAUUGUUAGAUUGGGUAUUUAACCUUACAUUGUACUUUGAAGGACUUACCUUUAAGGGAAGUAAUAUCCCCAAAACUGACAUAAAAUAACUUGUGUAUGUGUGUAUUGCUGAAGACCCCAAAGGGGAGUAAGUGUCAGGAUGCCUGGGUCGUUGACCCAUGGUUUUGAGUUUAGAAAUGAUAAAUAAUAGUCUUUGGUUUCUUUGUUAGAGUUCUGUCUUUUUGUUUUUUGUCUCUGUGUAAUCCUUAGUUGCUGUCUCCCCUGUCUGCUAUAUCCACUCAGUGUCUGUCUGCCCUGGUCCCAUGUCUCUCUGUUGUAGUGCCUGCCUGUGAGUCUGUCUGUAAGUUCAGUCUGUGUUAUGUUUCCUGUUUUACUUUGAAAGUCCGUGUCUUAUGUUAAUGUAUCUGGUUUUGCUUCCCCUGUUUCGUUAGGCCUGAUUUGCCCCAGCUGUGUUUCCCUCCUGUUACUCAUUCCCUGAUUGCUCCCUCUGUGUAUUUAAGCCCUGUGUUUCUUUGUGUCUGUGUCGCGAUCUACCCUCAUCUUGCUUUGUGUUCUGUCCGUUUGCCAGUGUAAGUUUAUUCUGUAUUCCUUGAUUUGUUACUUUUUGAGUUUAGCAUUAAAGCUGUAUUUGAGUUCAC